AGUUGCCAGCAUUCAGUUGGGCACUCUAAGGUGACUGCCGGCUAAAAGUCGGAGGAAGGUGGGGAUGACGUCAAAUCAUCAUGCCCCUUAUGACCUGGGCUACACACGUGCUACAAUGGGCGGUACAAAGGGUCGCGAACCCGCGAGGGGGAGCCAAUCCCAAAAAAGCCGCUCUCAGUUCGGAUUGCAGGCUGCAACUCGCCUGCAUGAAGCCGGAAUCGCUAGUAAUCGCGGAUCAGCAUGCCGCGGUGAAUACGUUCCCGGGCCUU
This 269-nucleotide ribosomal RNA is filed under the name uncultured Anoxybacillus sp. Its description in RNAcentral is "partial 16S ribosomal RNA". It matches the Rfam family "Bacterial small subunit ribosomal RNA", at positions 1113 to 1382 of the family's 1533-position model. The record is from RNAcentral. Lineage: Bacteria; Bacillati; Bacillota; Bacilli; Caryophanales; Anoxybacillaceae.